RNAcentral lists this ribosomal RNA (484 nucleotides) under uncultured bacterium. RNAcentral's name for it is "partial 16S ribosomal RNA". It matches the Rfam family "Bacterial small subunit ribosomal RNA", at positions 30 to 507 of the family's 1533-position model. The record is from RNAcentral.
AUUGAACGCUGGCGGCAGGCCUAACACAUGCCAGUCGAGCGGAUGAAGGGAGCUUGCUCCUGGAUUCAGCGGCGGACGGGUGAGUAAUGCCUAGGAAUCUGCCUGGUAGUGGGGGAUAACGUCCGGAAACGGGCGCUAAUACCGCAUACGUCCUGAGGGAGAAAGUGGGGGAUCUUCGGACCUCACGCUAUCAGAUGAGCCUAGGUCGGAUUAGCUAGUUGGUGGGGUAAAGGCCUACCAAGGCGACGAUCCGUAACUGGUCUGAGAGGAUGAUCAGUCACACUGGAACUGAGACACGGUCCAGACUCCUACGGGAGGCAGCAGUGGGGAAUAUUGGACAAUGGGCGAAAGCCUGAUCCAGCCAUGCCGCGUGUGUGAAGAAGAUCUUCGGAUUGUAAAGCACUUUAAGUUGGGAGGAAGGGCAGUAAGUUAAUACCUUGCUGUUUUGACGUUACCAACAGAAUAAGCACCGGCUAACUUCGUG